This 31909-nucleotide long non-coding RNA is filed under the name Malus domestica (apple). Its description in RNAcentral is "long non-coding RNA (MDOM_LNC001336)". The record is from RNAcentral. Lineage: Eukaryota; Viridiplantae; Streptophyta; Magnoliopsida; Rosales; Rosaceae.
AGGGAGAGAGUGAGGUCUCUGAUGGCCUAGGAAUUGGCCUCCUCUAAUUGUGAGGGUGAAGGGUCCUUUUAUAGAAUAAGGACUCCUCACUUAUUACAUAUUUGCCCAUUCCUUUAUUACAUAAUUACAUUCAAGUCCCCCGAGUAUUUGUACGAGAUCUAAAUACGGAAGCCCUAAGUAUGAUAUAAACAACUUAUGUUGUGCGUUUUCCAUGCUUCUGAUUAUAUCAAGGUGUUUUGUGAUAACUUUCACAUAUGAUGUUUUGUGCAUGUGGUAAAAUUCAAGUUGAAAGAAAGUAUCAAUGUGGUUAAUAACGGGUCACUGAUGAGUCUUUACGAAUCUUGACAAUAUUUGCAUUUGUUAUGUGUGUGGUAAGCGACCAUACUGAUAUAAAUACCCAAGCCUCAUGUCUAUAAUAAUAUAAUCUUCACGUCUAUUUUUGUUUAUCAGAUAAUCUUCACGUCUAAAACUUGAGAAACGAUCGGGGAUGGAGAGAUGCACGAAAUUGCAGAGACAAUCCAUUUUAGUAUAAUAAUCUUCAUGUACAUAUAAACUAACGUAGAGUCAAAGUUAUGUAGCUUUGUCAUUUUGAGAUUUUAAUAAAAAAAUUGUAAAGUUCUAUUUUUUUUGUUUUUAUUUGUCAAAACUGUUGUAAGACGUUACCAGAUGAGCCCUUAACUUAUGUUAGCCAUCAUUAGUUAGUAAACAUUACUAUACCAACAAGCCACCAAAGUCUAUGUGCUAUAUUAUAUAUAAAAAGGAAAACUAAUGAAAAGGGUUUGAAAACUUUGAGUUUUAAUGAUAAUGACAAUAUAAAGGGUAAAAUGAAUAGUACCAGGAUUGACUUUUUAGUGUAAAAUUGUGGUUUUUCGUUAGGGUGAACAGUACCGGGAGCUUUUCGUUAAAGUUCCCUAUAUAAAACUGGGUUCUAAUGAAAAAGCACUUUAGAAACCACUUAUGUUUGUCACUUUUGUUCUCUAGAAGCCAUAAUGAAAAAGGAAAUUGAAAUUAAUAUUCAAAAUGAAGAUCUCAUAAUAAAAAUAAGAAAUAAAAAACCAAAUAGAGGAAGAACUUCAUCAUUCAUGUGUAAUUGAUCGUACCUUGUGUCACGGGCCGCAUGUUAAAAACAAAGAAAAUGCCCAAGACACCAUAUAUCUAAGCCCAUAAAGCCUUGUCUUCAUGGAAGCUUCUGGAACAUCCCGGAAAAAUCAAGAACAUGGCGGAGCGUUCAAGAUAAUCUAGGGCAUUCCGGAACAUUCCACACAAGUGUACAAAUUCAAGCCUCACCUAGAACAAUCUAGAUUAGGCAAGUUGUAUCUAGAACUAUACUAGAUAUUUUUGGAUGUAAGUAGGGAAUUCUAGAACCCUCCAUUGAGGAGGUGACUUAGGCCUAUAAAUAGGAGGUAAGGCCAUUUGGCCAAACCAUCCAAGAAUUGUCAGCAAUUGUAAAGUUAUCCUAAGUUUCAAUACAAAGCUUCAUUUCUCCCAUCUUCUAAGUGAUUUUAGCAUUCUCCAAGCUAUCUUAGCUUUCUUUGUGAUUCGAUCCGGGGAAGCGAGGCUUCGAAGGCUUACUUAGCUUGUUCAUCGAGGUAUUCAAGUCUAAGUGCCGCACGGGCGGAAGGCUUAAAGAGUCAUCCCGUGACAGCUGGUAUCAGAGCCAAGCUCGUGAAUCACUUGAAGGAAAGUAGGAUAUGGCAAGUGGAGAGAUGGUGUCCGGAGUCUCCGAUCUAAGGGAGCGUACUGCCGAGGUCCAAGAUGUUGCCAAGAGCAAGCCAAAGUUAAAGGACUUGCAAGCAUCGAUGGAGACCAUGGAAGAGCGACUCGAGAAGGUGGAACGAACCAUACUCGAGUUCAAUACUCGACUUGAUGACGACGUUGUCGACAAGGAGGAAAUCCAAACCAUAGUGGACAAUGGUAAGGAUGAACUUCGUGGCUUGGUGGAAGGGCUACGAGAUGAGCUCCUUGGCGCUCUCAACACCAUGGCAGACAAGAUGCGGAGGAAAGUCCAGGUUCACCUUGACAACAUAGAGGCAAGGUUUGUGGCGCUUCAAGAAGAGAUAAAGGACACAAGGGAACUUAAGGGAGAUGUGGCAUUUUGUAAAGAAGCAGUCGUGAAGCAAUUCGUACAAGGGCCGAGGGAAAUCAAGGCGUUGGACUCCAAGGUAAUCGACUCCUUUAAACCCAAAUCCUAUAAUGGGAAGAGGGAAGCAAAUGAGCUCGACACAUUCAUGUGGAACGUGGAGCGAUACUUCAAGUACCUGAAGCUUGAAGAUGACGAGUCCAAAAUCUCAAUGGCAACCAUGUUCUUAGCUGACAACGCCUUUAUGUGGUGGCGUCGUCGGAGCAUGGAGAUUGAGCAAGGUACGUUAUCUCUCACCACUUGGGAUGAAUUUAAGAAAGAUCUUAUGUUGCACUUCUAUCCCCAAAAUGCCAAGUACGAAGCCAAGGAGAAACUAAGGUGGCUCAAGCAAACGGGGAGCGUCAAAGACUAUGUCAACGCCUUCGUGAGCUUGUUAUUCGAGGUGCCCAACAUGUUAGAGGAAGACAAUCUCAUGUACUUCAUGAGUGGACUGCAAAAUUGGGCAAAACUCGAACUACAAAGGAGACACGUGCAAACAUUGUCUGAUGCCAUUGCCGCCGCCGAAUCCUUGAUUGAGUUUAAAUCAAGCCACCAAGGUGAUUCCAAGUCCACGGGGAAUAGGGGUAACCAUGAGAGAAGUGGGGGAAAACACAAGCCGAAGGACAAGGCCGAGACAAGCAAACCGAAGGAGAAGAAAGCCGAUAAGCAUGACAAAGGCAAGGGUAAGUCUUGGCAACCCACUUGUUACCUAUGCGACGGCCCUCACAUGAUGCGAGAUUGCCCACAAAAGAAGGCCUUUAAGGCCAUGGCUUUCAAGGAGGACAAGGCCGAAGAAAGUAACGAUGCAACGAUGGGAUGCAUCCAUCUACUGAAUGCCAUCCAGACAACCCUCCCACAACCUAAGGCUCAAGUUGGGGGAGGAUCAUUGUUCGUCGACGUCAAAACUGGUGACAAGACGACGCGUGUGUUGGUGGACACGGGAGCAACACACAACUUCAUGACGUCGGAGGAAGCCACAAGGCUUGGCCUCUGAGUCACCAAGGAGCCCGGUAGCGUGAAGACGGUAAAUUUCGCUGCCACCCCCAUUGUUGGAGUUGCGCGCAAUGUACAAGUAGACAUUGGCACAUGGAAGGGAAAUAUCGACUUCACCGUAGUCAAGAUGGAUGACUAUGGCGUAGUCAUUGGGUUAGAGUUCAUGGACAAGGUACGGGCCUUUCCCAUUCCCUUCUACAAUAUCUUCUGUAUCCUAGACGACGGAAGACAACCUUGCCUGGUGCCAUUGGAAAGGCAAGCCAAGAAGUGUACCCAGCACUUGUCGGCAAUUCAAUUUGCCAAGUCUUGGAAGAAAGGCGAGGCCACAUUUCUUGCAACUCUAAUGUUGAAUGAAGGGGAGGAGAAACACGGGCCUUUGCCGAAACAAGUGGAAGCCGUCCUUAUGGAGUUUGCGGACGUGAUGCCUAAAGAACUGCCAAAAAAGUUGCCACCAAGGAGAGAGGUCGACCAUGCGAUUGAGUUGGAGCCUGGUGCUAAGCCUCCCUCCAAAUCACCUUAUAGGAUAUCGCCACCCGAGUUGGAGGAAUUGAGGAAGCAACUCAACGAGCUACUUGAUGCUGGCUACAUCCAACCCUCCAAGUCCCCAUAUGGUGCACCCGUCCUGUUCCAACGCAAGAAAGAAGGUAGCCUAAGGUUGUGCAUCGACUAUAGAGCAUUGAACAAGAUUACCAUCAAGAACAAGUACCCACUUCCGUUGAUCGCCGACUUAUUCGAUCAACUUGGUGAAGCAAGGUACUUCACAAAGUUAGAUCUUCGAUCGGGAUACUACCAAGUGAGGAUAGCCCCUGGAGACGAAUCGAAGACGGCGAUGGUGACCAGAUAUGGAUCGUUCGAGUAUAAAGUCAUGCCAUUUGGUCUGACCAAUGCCCCCGCAACAUUCUGCACAUUGAUGAACAAGGUAUUCCAUCCUUAUCUUGACAAGUUUGUCGUGGUUUACAUUGAUGAUAUUGUUGUCUAUAGCAAGACAUUGGAGGAGCACGUCAACCACUUGCGCAUAGUGUUCAAGACCCUUCGGGAGCAUGAACUCUAUGUCAAGAAGGAGAAAUGCUCAUUUGCCAAAAAAGAAGUAGAAUUUCUUGGCCACAAGAUAAAGGAGGGGAAACUUAUGAUGGAAAAGGGCAAGAUCAAGGCCAUUCAAGAGUGGGAACCGCCGACCAAGGUACCAACACUACGAUCAUUUCUGGGGCUAGCCAACUACUAUCGGAGAUUCAUUAAAGGGUACUCAGCCAUAGCGGCACCCUUAACAGACCUUCUUAAGAAGAAUAAGGCAUGGGAAUGGACGGACCGUUGUCAAGAGGCCUUUGAGAGGUUGAAGAAGGCCCUAAUGGAGGAGCCUGUACUAAGGUUGCCCGACCUUAGCAAGCCAUUCGAGUUGCACACUGAUGCUUCCGACUUUGCCAUAGGAGGAGUGUUGAUGCAAGAGGGACAUCCGAUAACUUAUGAAAGUCGCAAGCUAAACAAUGCUGAGAAGAGGUACACGACCCAUGAAAAGGAGAUGACCGCCAUCGUCCAUUGCCUUAGAGUUUGGAGGCAUUACUUGCUUGGUACCCCAUUCAUCAUCAAGACGGACAACGUUGCCACUAGCUACUUUCAAACCCAACAAAAGCUCACACCUAAGCAAGCAAGGUGGCAAAAGUUCUUAGCAGAGUUUGAUUACAAGCUAGAGUACAAGCAAGGAAAGGAGAACGUGGUGGCCGAUGCUCUAAGUAGACGAGUAGAGUUAAUGGCUACGGUACUCAAGCCGCAAAGCCAUCUCUUGGGCCGUGUCCGAGAAGGUUUAUCACAUGACGUCCAAGCCAAGAACAUUGUGGAGUUUGUCAAGGAUGGGAAGACAAGAAGGUUUUGGCUUGAGGACGGCUUGCUAUACACCAAGGGCAAGCGGAUCUACAUCCCAAAGUGGGGGAGCUUGAGGAAAGAAAUCCUUAAGGAAUGCCAUGACUCAAUGUGGGCAGGACAUCCUGGCACUCACCGCACGUUGGCUUUGGUGAGCGAUGCUUACUAUUGGCCACAAAUGUGGGAUGAUGUAGAUUCAUACGUGAAGACUUGUCUUGUGUGCCAACAAGACAAAAUGGAACAAAUGCAACCGGGAUGACUGUUGGAACCACUUCCCACCCCAUCAAGACCAUGGGAGUGUUUAACCAUGGAUUUCAUCACACAUUUGCCCAAGUCUGAUGGAUGUGGAUCUAUCUUCGUCGUGGUCGAUAGAUUCACCAAGUAUGCCACUUUCAUACCCGCACCUGUGGAGUGCACAGCCGAAGUAGCUGCACGUUUGUUUCUAAAGCACGUGGUGAAGUAUUGGGGUGUUCCGAGGAGCAUAGUCAGCAAUCGAGAUGCUCGCUUCACGGGUAGAUUUUGGAAGGAGCUCUUCAAGCUACUUGGCUCAAAGUUAGACUUCUCCACAACUUUUCAUCCCCAAACUGAUGGACAAACGGAGCGGGUUAAUGCAUUGUUGGAGACUUAUUUGCGGCACUAUGUUAGUGUCAAUCAACGAGAUUGGGCUAAGUUACUUGAUGUUGCCCAAUUCUCUUAUAACUUGCAACGUUCGGAGUCGACGGGGAAAAGUCCGUUCGAGUUGGCUAUAGGGCAACAACCCUUGACCCCGAACACGGUCGUGACUGGCUACACUGGAAUAGUCCAGCCGCUUUCAAAACCGCUAAGAAGUGGCAAUUAGCCCACGAACUUGCUCGAGCUCACUUGGAGAAGGCUUCAAAGAAGAUGAAGAAAUGGGCGGAUCGUAAGCGAAGGAAUGUGGAGUUCCAAACUGGCGACCAAGUCUUUGUGAAGCUCAAUGCGUCUCAGCACAAGAGUACUCGUGGCUUGCACAAGAGCUUGUUGCGGAAAUAUGAGGGACCAUUCCUUAUCAUCAAGAAAGUUGGCAAAGCCGCGUAUGUUGUGGAACUCCCACCCCGCCUUAAGUUUCACCCGGUGUUCCAUGUGAGCAACUUGAAGCCUUAUCAUGCAGGCGAUGAGGAACCAAGCCAAGGUGAGUCUCAUCGAGCACCCCCUUUGAUGACAGAGGCAUUUGACAAAGAAGUGGAGAGCAUUGAAGCCAAGUGUGUCGUGGUGCGACCAAGACAACCAAAGCAUGUGGAGUACUUUGUCAAAUGGAAGGGGCUACCAUACUCCGAAGCAACAUGGGAGAAGGAGACGUCCUUAUGGCAAUAUAAGGACCUGAUUAAUACAUUCGAGAGGCAAGAGUCGACGAGGACGUCGACGGCUUAAGUGGGGGAGGAUGUCACGGGCUGCAUGUUAAAAACAAAGAAAAUGCCCAAGACACCAUAUAUCUAAGCCCAUAAAGCCUUGUCUUCAUGGAAGCUUCUGGAACAUCCCGGAAAAAUCAAGAACAUGGCGGAGCGUUCAAGAUAAUCUAGGGCAUUCCGGAACAUUCCACACAAGUGUACAAAUUCAAGCCUCACCUAGAACAAUCUAGAUUAGGCAAGUUGUAUCUAGAACUAUACUAGAUAUUUUUGGAUGUAAGUAGGGAAUUCUAGAACCCUCCAUUGAGGAGGUGACUUAGGCCUAUAAAUAGGAGGUAAGGCCAUUUGGCCAAACCAUCCAAGAAUUGUCAGCAAUUGUAAAGUUAUCCUAAGUUUCAAUACAAAGCUUCCUUUCUCCCAUCUUCUAAGUGAUUUUAGCAUUCUCCAAGCUAUCUUAGCUUUCUUUGUGAUUCGAUCCGGGGAAGCGAGGCUUCGAAGGCUUACUUAGCUUGUUCAUCGAGGUAUUCAAGUCUAAGUGCCGCACGGGCGGAAGGCUUAAAGAGUCAUCCCGUGACACUUGGAACCCUCCCAAACCUCAGAGCCGCACAAGGUUUAUGUGCAUUUUCCCUCCAACCCAUCUUGCUGCACGUUAAACCAAAUUUAAAAAAAAAAAGAGUUUUUGAACCGUUAGAGAAAAAACAAAUAUUUAACAAGAAAAAAAAAUGAAAUUGUACUUGUUCAAUUUUCGUCAGGGCAGAUAAAACAAUGGAGCUGGAUCCUCUCCGAGGCAAACCCUCGGGAUCCUGCUGAGCAACAAACACGGGCCGUUGGAUGUCGAUCCAACGACUACAAUUAUUAUAACUUUAAGAGAGGCCCUCCUGUUUGUAGCCGUUGGAUCGAAAUCCAACGGCCCGUGUUUGUCGCUCAGUAGGAUUCCGAGGGUUUGCCUCAGAGAGGAUCCAGUCCUAAAACAACACCACCCAAAAUGUGCUUGUGAAAAAUGAAAAAUGUUAAGGAGAUUAUAUUUUUGUACCACUUUAGUAUACGAUCUUAUGUGGCAAAUGAUGUGUAUAUGCCACAUCAGUUAAUGAAUCUAUUUGAUUAUAUAUUAGUUGUAUUUAUCAGUUAUCAUGUCAGAUGGUACAAAAAUGUGAUUACCCUAGCAUUACUUUGUGAAAAAACCAAUCAAAUGAAGAAAAAGAAGCUACUUUUGUCAUCAUAUAAUAGAAAGAAUAGAAAAAACAAGAGUGGAGGGUUGCGUUUACCGGAUUCUAUUGUUGCUGUUUGUGUUUGUGUUUGGGGUUACAAAAUUAAUUUUUUCUUUUUCAUUUAUUUAAGAGCAAAUUUAAAAGUUUGGUAGAUAAAUUUUUCUGUUUAGGUAUAGAAAUAAGAAAGAUCUUCAUGCUACACAUGGACCUGCCCUUGUAGGCCUUAAUUUUGGACUAUUGGCCCUCACUCGCAAAAGUGGAACAAAUACUCCUACGGCGCCGUUUCAUGACCUAUAUGAGAUUGUACCGUACGUUUGCCCUUUUACCGCCAAGUCCUUGUCCGACCCGCAUUACGCUCCGAAAGUCAUCUCACCUCCUCGGCCCCAAAUUCCUGCAGGUAAAUCGCACCUCAUUGUAUUCCUCGUUAAUUUCUCUUGUUUUGCGUUUGGUUGCUGAGAAAAUAGAUAAAGAGAAAGAAAAACGUGGUCUUUCGUUUGCGUUUUGUUUAUCAGAUAGCGUGGGUAAUAGACGUUACUAAAUUCCGUGUGGAGGAUUUUACGAGGAAUUCGAGGAGUCGGCGGCUUUUGGAACUUGGGCUCAGAGACGGCCAAGGUGAGGUAGCAGCUGAGGAGUAUUCUCAUAUCCCGGCAACCCCAGACGACGUCGUUCCUGGAACUAAGGUAUUUUCUGGUAUAGAUUAAACUCGCCCACUACAUUUAUAAUGAAUUUGGAAAUUUUAGGUCACGACUUACAGUUUAUGGCUCCAAACUGUUUGUCACGAAAUUGAUUAUUUGAUUGGUGGUGUUUUGGUAUUAAGAGGAUGAACAGAUUCGUGCUCUAGAUCAGGGCAAAAGCUUGCCGUGAGAAAUUGAGGAGGGAGAGAUUUAAUGACUGGUAUGUGUCCAAUCUCAAAUUAUAUUUUUUUACAUUUUUUGAAGAAUUGGGUUGUUAUGUAAUGAUGAAAUGAAUGGUGGUUUUCUGUUGAAUUUUACUGUUUUGCAAUUUGGGAUUUUGGUGUGGGUUGUAAAUUUUGAAUUUUUUUUUUUAUGCGGAUGAUUGAAUUUCUCUUGCUACAAAAACUAAUGAAUUGAGACUGAAACAUAAGAAGUUGCCAUCAAGUGCUUAUGUUUUAGUAUAAUUUCACUUCUAUGAUUCCAAAGUGUUUCCCCCAAUCCAGUUUUGUCUUUUCAGAUUAAUACAAUGCCACAACCCAUGCAGAAGAAUAUAGCUGAGUGAGCAACUUUUGUUUUUAAUACUGUGUUUUGAAAAAAUUUUGACGAAAGAAAAGAUCGAAGCAACUGAACAUGGGCUGGGGUUUGCAAUUGGUUUUCAAGUAAGGGAUGUAAUAAGCACUCAUAAAGUGGGAACAGUCGAAGUUGACCCUUUUUAGAAUAAGUGGCACUUGGCGGUUAUAGAACUGAGGAGUGAAAUUGCAGAGCGCAUGUAUAUUUAUCCUUCUUAAGUGUUGUUUUUGGAUCGAACACAAUUUCAUGUACAAUUCAUAUUUUUGCUUUUCGUUUUUUCAGUUUGUGUUCUGUUCAUGGUUAAGAAGACAUGAAUCACAUGUAUGUAAAUUUUGCAUAUCACGUAUAUACUUAGAACUUUUGACGUGUUUUUUAUGAUUUUAAAACCCACAGCAUUGCACAGGCACCAUCACUAGUAGAAACUAAAACUGUAAAAAAAGCUCAUGAACACAUCAGUCAGAAUGGAAGGUAAGUGGAGAAAAUUUCCGAGAUAUUCUAUUGAGCAAUCCAUUUAUGAGCCUUGCAAAUGAGCUUUUUGAUCUUACCAGGAACAGCUCUACAAUCUUAAACAACUUCCGUCUACAGUUUUGGAGAAUCCGACAGGAGACCAUUUUUUGAUUGCGCAAACGAGUUCAUCAAUUGCAAGGGUAGUAGAAAAUGUAAUAAAUCUUCUAGUAAAUGUACAAUCAAUCUUCAGUUAACCUAUCAGGGCAAGUCAAGAUUAAUGAAAAGGUAGUAGAAACCAUUGACUGGCAUCUUCCGGCUAUCAUUGAUUUUCUUUCUAACCUUAAAAGUAAAUUCCUGGGAUAUGUGGUGGAAGCAUGGCAAGUAUUUGUGCAAAUUCGAGUAGUAUUUGUCAAAUAUUUGGAUGAAUGGCUUGUAUUGAUUGUUGUAAUGUUGAAAUGUUUCUAGAUGCAAUAUAUCUUCAAAAUUCAAAACAACUACUUUUUGAACAAAUCAUGGACCUGCAUGCGCACGAUAGGAAGGCAAUUAGAACUUAGGAGAGAGAGAAAAAGAAAUACAUGUAUGAUGUUCUUGCCAAAAUCAGCUGUGAGAUUGGUAAACCUCUUCAUAUCAAUCCAUGUCAUGGGGUUUAAUAACUGAUCGGGGUGCGGAGCCUCGGCGAGUUUGGGUGAAUCGCUUAACCUCAAUGUUUCAAGCUUUGAAAGGCCAUUGAGGCUGUGUAGGGUAUGAAAAUCAUUCCCUCCAAGACAAAUAUUGUAAAGAAAUUAGACUCCCAAGAUCCUUAGGCAUUGCAUCGUCAGGUUUGCACCACGAGAGAUUUAAUUCCCUUAAAGAGUUUAAGCCAUGUAAUGAAUGGGGCAAAGGAAUAGGCAGAGUUCUCCGUAGAGAUAAACGAGUGAGAUUCUUCGACCCUAUUAUGGAAGGUGGUACUUGUCUUAUGGCUGUAUGCUCUGCUUCAAGAACCCCAAAGAACCUCAAACGCCAAUAUCCGAUUCAUAAGAAAUCUGAUAUCCGAUUCUUUAACUUUUAUUACAACCGUCAUCUAUAAAAUUUGAACUCAGAACCUCUUUGAUAGAGUGGGGACCCCAUCUCCAGAUUAAAGAUGACAAAUUCAAGUGCAGCAACAACAUAGUACAUCUAAACAGCACUCACAAGUCUCAUAGCAGCUGAAACAACAAGAAGCUGCAAACAAACUGCACCGAAAUUCACAGAUCACAAAAUGAAAUUCACAGAUCAACCGGAGACAUUUCUUGGUACCACGAUGGUGCAUACAUUUUCUCUUCUUCCUCCUCCCACCACAAAUUAAGAAACAGAUAAAGACUACAACAACAACAACAACAACAAAGCCUUUUCCCACUAGUGGGGUCGGCUAUAUGAAUCCUAGAACGCCAUUGCGCUCGGUUUUGUGUCAUGUCCUCCGUUAGAUCCAAGUACUCUAAGUCUUUUCUUAGAGUCUCUUCCAAAGUUUUCCUAGGUCUUCCUCUACCCCUUCGGCCCUGAACCUCUGUCCCGUAGUCACAUCUUCGAACCGGAGCGUCAGUCGGCCUUCUUUGCACAUGUCCAAAUCACCAGAGCCGAUUUUCUCUCAUCUUUCCUACAAUUUCGGCUACUCCUACUUUACCUCGGAUAUCCUCAUUCCCAAUCUUAUCCUUUCUCGUGUGCCCACACAUCCCAUGAAGCAUCCUCAUCUCCGCUACACCCAUUUUGUGUACGUGUUGAUGCUUCACCACCCAACAUUCUCUGCCAUACACACCAUCGCUGGCCUUAUUGUCGUCCUAUAAAAUUUUCCCUUGAGCUUCAGUGGCCUACGACGGUCACACAACACGCCGGAUGCACUCUUUCCAUCCAGCUCGUAUUCUAUGGUUGAGAUCUCCAUCUAAUUCUCCGUUCUCUUGCAAGAUAGAUCCUAGGUAACGAAAACGGUCGCUUUUUGUGAUCUUCGCUAGAUUGCUCCGGUCAUUAGUGUGGAUAAGUAUAUAAAUGGAUAGAGAUAGGAAAGCAAACACAAGAUGUACGUGGUUCACCCAGAUUGGCUACGUCCACGGAAUAGAAGAGUUCUCAUUAAUUGUGAAGGGUUUACACAAGUACAUAGGUUCAAGCUCUCCUUUAGUGAGUACGAGUGAAUGAUUUAGUACAAAUGACAUUAGGAAAUAUUGUGGGAGAAUGAUCUCGUAAUCACGAAACUUCUAAGUAUCGGAGUGUGGUGUCGUCUUGACUUGCCUUAUCUGUCUCAUAGGUAGAUGUGGCAUCUUCUCUGGAAGUACUCUUCCUCCAUCCAGGGGUGGUAUCUUUAACUGGUGGAGAUGCACAAGGUAAUGUAUCAAUUUCACUUGAAGCUUACUUGUAGUUUCAGGCUUGGUCAAGCGCGAUACAAACCAUGUAGUAGGAGUCCCCCAAGUCGCCGAGCUAGGGGGGUCUGCUGAAAGAGGUGACAGACAAGGUAAGCAAUCAGAGCUCCGACUGAUUGUUCACCUUCUCCCCAUCUUGCAGCAGCAGCAUGAAGGAUAAAGAGAAGAAAAAAUGAGAAAGAGAUGAUAUGAGAUACUUUUGCUUUUGAAGAAGUAACUUUCCACAGGCUUAUUCUUGAACUGAGCUGGAGGGUUUUCUGGUUUCCUCCAGAGUAUAAGGCCGACUGAAGAAUUUGAGGGUCAAAACAAGUCCAUCAAAUCUAGAGUACGUUCCACCCUGCUGAUAUGGGAUACUUUUGCUUUUGACAGAGUCAUGGAUGUAUCGGCACGUGUGCUGUUACGCUUGUCUCCACAUGCUUCCUUGUAUCCUUCGCACUUGCCCUAUCUGUUCCUUAAGCAGAUGCGGAAUCUUCCCUGGAAACAUAAGAUGUUGAAGAUGAGUACUCGAGAGCAAUGCCAGGUAAGUAAUCAGGUAAGGGGUUCCAGGUAGUCAGUUCCUGGCUGGAAGCUUGAUUCCAAGUGCUGACUGAUUGCUCUCUUUCUCCUUGUCUUGCAGGUAAAAACAAGGCCAAAAGAAAAAACAGGGAAAAAGCAUGAUAUGGGAUACUCUUGCUUUUAACCCUGAUGAUAUGAGAUAUUCUUGCUCUAGUAUAGCUUGUUUGCAGAGGUAUUAUCGGGGGGAAAGAAAGCUGAAUAUUUCGAAAGGCUUUGUUGGGAGUGCCCUCUCAGAUAUGAUGAAGGGUUGAGCAUUUUUGCAGGUCUGCCUGUCCGUUGGGGAUGGAGGUCGACAUAUAUAGGAGUCUCCCUAACAACAAGUAGUAAUGCUAUUCCUUUACCCUGCUUGGUCAUAGCACGGUAGUGGGAGCUGCCAGUUUCACAUGUUUUAACUCUGUCAGAGCACUUUGAAAAAGUGGUCUGUGGUAUCUGGCUCUCGAGAUUCGGAGAACAAUGCCUCUUCGAUUUUUGAGAAAGCAAUCAUGUUGGGGGUCUGACUCUCGAGAUUCGGAGAGCAGUGUCUCUUCGAUUUUUGAAGAAGUAAUCAUGUUGGGAGUCUGGCUCUCAAGAUUCGGAGGGCGGUGCCUCUUCGAUUUUGGAGCAAGCAAUCUUGUUGGGAGUGUUGUCUCGAAUGUGAGUAAAGGUUGGACAUGUUUGCUAGUCUACCUUGCCACGAAGCACAAAGGUUGACACACAGGGACUUUCCAAUUAUCCAGCAAUGGUACUGUUCCUUUACCCUCUCUUCGAUUUUGAGAAAGUAGUCAUGUUGGGAGUCUGGCUCUCGAGAUUCGGAGGACGGUGCCUCUUCGAUUUUGGAGCAAGCAAUCUUAUUGGGAGGGUUUUCUCGAAUGUGAGUAAAGGUUGGGCAUGUUUGCUAGUCUACCUUGCCACGAAGCACAGAGGUUGACACACAGAGACUUUCCAAUUAUCCAGCAGUGGUACUGUUCCUUUACCCUUGUGGGUAAUAAUAUGGUAGCUAGACCUUCAAAAUUUAUGUGUCUAAACUUUGUUAGUGCUGUUUCUUUGCUAUUCUUUUACCUUUUUUGGUCAGAGCGAUGUAGUGGGAGCUGCAAGCUUCACGUGCUCAACUUUGGCAGAGAACUUUGGCAAAGUGAUCUGUGGUACCCAUGAGUUAUUGUUGCGUGUGGGAAGUGGGUGAUUGAACAGUAAGAUUCAUGUGCUUUCUACUUCACCAGAAGUCUUCGACAGAAUGCCCAUAAUUUCUGCAAAGCUGAGUGUGCGUGUGACAGGUGCUGACAAGGCUAGAAAAGUAGGUGCCUCUUCGAUUUCUGAGAUCGGCCCUCGUGGUCUCUGAGCAGCCCAGCUUUUGAGAAAGCGAGCGUCUCUUCGAUUGAUUCGGAGAACGGUGCCUCACCGAUUUUUGAGAAAGCAAUCAUGCUGGGGGUCUGGCUCUAGAGAUUCGGGGAGCAGUGUCUCUUCGAUUUUUGAGAAAGUAAUCAUGUUGGGAGAGUGGCUCUCGAGAUUCGGAGGGCGGUGCCUCUUCGAUUUUGGAGCAAGCAAUCUUGUUGGGAGUGUUUUCUCGAAUGUGAGUAAAGGUUGGGCAUGUUUGCUAGUCUACCUUGCCACGAAGCACAGAGGUUGACACACAGAGACUUUCCAAUUAUCCAGCAAUGGUACUGUUCCUUUACCCUCUCUUCGAUUUUUAAGAAAGUAGUCAUGUUGGGAGUCUGGCUCUUUAGAUUCGGAGGACGGUGCCUCUUCGAUUUUGGAGCAAGCAAUCUUAUUGGGAGUGUUUUCUCGAAUGUGAGUAAAGGUUGGGCAUGUUUGCUAGUCUACCUUGCCACGAAGCACAGAGGUUGACAUACAUGGACUUUCCAAUUAUCCAGCAGUGGUACUGUUCCUUUACCCUUGUGGGUAAUAAUAUGGUAGCUAGACCUUCAAAAUUUAUGGGUCUAAACUUUGUUAGUGCUGUUUCUUUGCUAUUCUUUUACCCUUCUUGGUCAGAGCGAUGUAGUGGGAGCUGCAAGCUUCACGUGCUCAACUUUGGCAGAGAACUUUGGCAAAGUUAUCUGUGGUACCCAUGAGCUAUUGUUGCGUGUGGGAAGUGGGUGAUUGAACAGUAAGAUUCAUGUGUUUUCUACUUCCACAGAAGUCUUUGACAGAAUGCCCAUAAUUUCCGCAAAGCUGAGUGUGCGUGUGACAGGUGCUGACAAGGCUGGAAAAGUAGGUGCCUCUUCGAUUUCUGAGAUCGGCCCUCGUGGUCUCUAGGGAGCCCAUCUUUUGAGAAAGCGAGCGCCUCUUCGAUUUCUGAGAUCGGCCUUCGUGGUCUUUGAGCAGCCCAACUUUUGAGAAAGCAAACGGCUCUUCGAUUUCUGAGAUCAACCCUCGUGAUCUCUAAGCAGCCCAACUUUUGAGAAAGCAAACGCCUCUUCGAUUUCUGAGCAGGCGCCUCUUUGAUUUCUGAAGCUCCGUCGAGUGCAGAUUUUUAUAGGGGCUGGCAUUAAGUUCCAAAGCACACUUGAAUCUCCACCAGUAGAAGCUUCAUUCUUGCACUUCUAAGAUCUUGAUUUGUCCGACCUCUUCUCUCUUCAACACCUUUGAAAAUGUCUGGCCCCUCCGACCGUCGUUUUGACUUGAACCUUGUUGAAGAGGCAGCCCCGCCUUCUCCAGACAACAUAUGGCGCCCAUCCUUCGUCUCCCCAACUGGUCCUCUUACCGUUGGGGAUUCCGUGAUGAAGAAUGAUAUGACCGCUGCGGUGGUGGCCAGGAACCUUCUCACUCCCAAAGAUAACAGACUACUUUCCAAACGGUCUGAUGAGUUAGCUGUUAAGGAUUCGCUGGCUCUCUCAGUGUUCAGUGUGCAGGUUCUGUGUCUAAUAUGGCCCAACGCCUAUUUGCUCGAACCCGCCAAGUUGAAUCAUUGGCGGCUGAAGUGAUGAGUCUCAAACAGGAGAUUAGAGGGCUCAAGCAUGAGAAUAAACAGUUGCACCGGCUCGCACAUGACUAUGCUACAAACAUGAAGAGGAAGCUUGACCAGAUGAAGGAAACUGAUGGUCAGGUUUUACUUGAUCAUCAGAGAUUUGUGGGUUUGUUCCAAAGGCAUUUAUUGCCUUCGUCUUCUGGGGCUGUACCGCGUAAUGAAGCUCCAAAUGAUCAACCUCUGAUGCCUCCUCCUUCUAGGGUUCUGUCCAGUACUGAGGCUCCAAAUGAUCCCCCUCCGGUGCCUUCUCUUUCUGGGGCUCUACCGACUGCUGAGACUUCUCCUAAGUAACCUUUGUGAAGGCUCCCUCUUGUGUGUUUAUUUUGACUCAUGUAUAUGUACAUAUUUGUAGCUUAUCGGGGAUAUCAAUAAAUAAGCUUUCCUUCAUUUCAACGUAUUGUGUUAAAUACACCAAAGCCUUCUUCGCUAAGUUCUUUGAAUUUUCUUUUGUUGAAGCUUGUAUGUUGAAGCUUUCUGAGUGGAGCAUGUAGGUUGGGGUAGUGUUCCCUUAAUUUCCCGAGUGAGGAAAACUUCUUGGUUGGAGACUUGGAAAAUCCAAGAAACAGAUAAAGACUGAGUGCUGAUUUUUCUGUGCAACUCUUUUUUUUUUAGGCUUACAAAUUUGAUAGAAAUACUGAAUGAUAAAAGCUGUGUGUGAUAUGCAACCACUCAGAUUUAGUAUUAAAUGUAUCCACCAAUCAUUUUUAUGAGCUUCCAUUACCCAAAAAGUGGGCAGUCUAACUCCUGAUAACCUAAUCUUCGAUUUAGAAUUCACAUUCUCAGCACUCCCUUCUGUGUGGGGUCAUUUAAGCCUAACACAUAACAACACAAUUGGGUAACGUGAGAGCAAGCAAGAUGUGGCUCAACACGUGAGUAACAUGCUCUGGUACCAUAAAAAAGUUGAGGUAUAGAAACCAAUUGGUAAUAUUAGAGGUAGCCGAACUUUUUAUGAGGACAUGCAAGAUCCUUAGUUCUCCAACGUGAAAUUUACAUUCUCAAUAUCAUACAUAUAAACAUACAUACAUACAUGUUUAUGUGCACGCGCGCGCACACACAUAUAUAUAUAAAAUACACACACACAUAGGUGUGAAUAUACGUAUACACAUGUGGGUACAUACGUGCAGGCCAUGUGAGGUCACCGUCCAAAUGAAGAUGAGAAGUCAAAUUCCAAUGGCAUGAGUGGCAUGAGUCAUGACACCAUCGUCAGGGCUUUCCCAUGAUUCAUGUUCACAAGAAAUCACUGGUUUCUUUAUUAAUAUUAAGAAGAGACGACCACACCUACUCUCUUUUUAUUCUUCCAUGUAUUACAGUUGUAUGAUUCCAACAUGGGUUAGCAGACAGAAAAAUAUGGGUAACGCAGUCCAACCACGUUAUCCACAAAGCACUUCUCAAAAUAUCAAGGGAUGACGUAUAAUUUGGUUUUACUCAAUUACAUUGAUCCUCAACCAGUGCGGGAGUUGCUAGUCAGACAGUUGUAUUGAAAUUUCGGCCGUUUGUAUGUGAUCUUGUUCUAUGUGAGUUAUAUCCUAAUCAGUCAGCGUACCAAAAUUUCUCAAGUACGUAGAUAGACUUUUUUUGGCAGAAAAAAUAACUUUAAACUCAAAAUUUAUCAACACAAGCAAGACCAAAACAUCGACAUAAUAACCCAUAAUCAAACGCCGCUGCAAACAGGCGCUAAAAGAAUGCAGGGGAGUUCCGACGCCGCAAUCGAAACCCUAAGAACUUGAGGGGGGUACUUCGGCGAUCUCGAACAAGUGAAGGCGAUGAUCCUGAUCCACUCCGCCUUGUCCGGCGACACGCGUACGGUGGUGGAAUUCAGUGGAAGCCGAGCUCACCAACAUGGACCUCAAAUCCAUCUCCGCCAGCUCCUUGCUCGACCCGCGUACGCUCCGAAUGUCCUCUCACCUCCUCAGCCCCAAAGUCCUCCAGGUAAAUCACACCUCUCGUUUUCUGUUAUGAACUUAGGAUUGUGAUUAUCUUAAUCACAAAUUAAGAGUCAAGUUAGUCGUAAUUGAGGGUUUUACUUGUUAUUAAGAGCACUUGCUCUUUGGUUUGAAAAGAGAUCAGAAUUUUAGAAAGAAAUCAAAAUACAAAAAAUAUAUUGGAGCUUGCUCCUUCUCUCCUUCCCUCUUCUUCCAUAGCUUUCUUGUGCUACUUGCAGGUUGAUUAAGAGAAUUGAGAAUUGGGUCGUUUUCGGUUUGGUUGCUGAGAAAAUAGAAAAAGAGAGAAAAAAUAUGGUCCUUCGUUGCCUUUUUUUUUAAUUUUUAUAUCAGAUAGCUUGAGCAAGAGACGUUAUAACAGCAGUGUGUAGGAUUUUGCGAGGAAUUCGACUUUUGAAACUUGGGCUCACAGACGGCCGCAGUGAGGUAGUUGCUGUGAAGGACUCUCAUAUCCCGGCAAUCCCUGGCGACUUCUUUCCUAGAACUAAGGUACUUUCUGCUACUUCGUGCUUGCUCAAUGCUCGGCUUGUGCUUUAUAUGUAAAUGAGUUGGAGAUUUCUUUGAUUAAUCACUUUUUGGUUUUUGAAUAUGUUCAGCUGAGUAUUCAAACUAGUAUGAAAUUGAGCUAGAUUAUGGAAAAUUGGAUAAUACCGCAUUAAGAAACCAACACUUUUGUAGAACUUAAUGAUGAACACUGUGUGCUUUGUCACUGAAAAUCUUCGAGUUAAUUGAACAUCUUUUGUUUGUCUUACUUUUGGAUUGGCAGGUUCGUCUGGAAGGUAAAGCUACUGUACUGAACGGAAUGGUAUGUUUGAGUCCUAAAAUCGUGACAGUGUUAGGAGGUGUUGUUCAACCACUUUACGAAGAUUGGCAGAUGAAUAAAAAAUAUUCCGGGUUUUCACCUUCAUCUUUAAGGCUUUAAAGAUAUGUAAAAUCGUAUAAAACAUGUAGAAAGUUAUCAAUAUAUGUAAGAUAGACAAUACUAUUUACAUACAUGUGGAAAUCUAAGGAGGGAAUGAACUGCUUAUUGCAAAAAGUAUUUUAGUAACCUUUAUACAACAAAUUAGUUCACCAAUCAACCUUUCAAAAAUUAGUUUCAGUACAAAAGCAUGUGAUCUCACAUCCCUGGUUGCUAAUCCCCAAAUGGAAGGGUGUUCUCUAGACAAACCUUACAGAGAAACGAGUGAGUUUCUUCAAUCUUGCUAUGGAAGUUGGUAUAUGUCUUAUGGCUGUAUCCUCUGCUUCAAGUAUUUCCAGUGAUUCCAUCUCCCCUAAAUCCUCAUGCAGUUCUCCGAAUUUCGGACAAUUAUUAAGACAAAGAGUCCUAACAGAUUUGGACUUAUAGAAAUCACUUGGAAGAGAACUAAGACUGUAACAGUUUCUAAGGUUUACCAAAGAGAGAUUUUUAAGCUGUCCAAUGAAGGGGUGAAUCUCGGACAAACUAGCACAAUUUUCCAAUAUCAACUCUUUAAGAUCUGGGACCUUUGAAAAGUCUGGUGAUUCUAUUAAGGAAUAGGAAUGACUGAGAUUCAUGAUUUUCAACCUCCGAAGCGACUGUUGCAAAAAACCAAAGGAAAAGUGAAAUUAAUAUUCAAAAUGAAGAUCUCAUUAAAAAAAAAAAAAAAAAAAAAAAAAGAAGAGAGAAGGAAAUCAAAACGACAAAGAGAAACAGAACAUCAACAUGCGGGAUUGAUUGUACCUGGGAACCCUUCCAAACUUGUACCAGUUGGCUAAACCGCAUAUCUAUACAAACUAGUUUGUCUUGACGAAAAAAGUCAUCUGGUAUGGACUUCAAAUGACAUCUAUACCAGCGCAACCACUUUAACUCUUUGGAAAGAUAUUUGUAUUCUCCAUCUAGUUUUACGUGGUAUAGCUGGAGAAAUUUCAAUUUCUUCAUAUUGGCAAAUGCUACUGUACUGAAACUAUCAUUGUUCGAGCUCUGCAAAUCAAUAAUUAGUGCGACAAUUUCUUCAGAUUCCUGUUAAAGAAAAGGUUAUAUGGAGUAAGAAAAGGAUAAUCUGCAUAUGUUUUGACGUGAUUUUGCCUAAUUGAGCUUCUUAAUGAAAAUGCGUAUAUCUACACGUGAAUAUUGUUUAAUUUAUAAUAGACAUACGUAGGUUACAUAUAUGCUUUUCUUGUACGAUGCAUUAAUCCAAAAUUUUACUAGGAAUGUACUUACAGAUUUAUUUGUCAAUACAUCUGUGACCUCUUGAAGAUUCCUCAGCCUACUCCAUUUUCUAGGAUGACUGGGGGAUUUUUCAGAAAUGAUUACUCCAGCCAUUUCUCGAAUCAAAUCAUGCAUAUUCAACACGUUGCGUUCAAUAGUUACAAGGCAUCGUUCGCAAAGGAUACUAAUAUCUAUUAUUCCAUCUAAUACUUUUGCGACGUAUUCCUUAUUCCAUCCAAUAAAGAAACAAGAUAUGUCAAGGAAUAUAGCCUUUUGUUUUUCCGUUAGCCCUUGGAAGCUUAUUUUUAGUUGUUCUAUUAUUUCUCCAUCAGGAUCCAAUGUCUCCAGUUGACUUUCCCACUCUUCUAUGGGUCUUUUUAACAACAAAGAACCUAAAGUUUUAAGGGCUAAUGGCAAACCUUUACAGUAUGAAACAAACUUUUCUGAGAUUUGAAGAUAUCCUUCGUCAGGCCAAUUAUUUCCAAAAGCAUGCCAACUAAAGAGCUUCAAAGCUUCUCCAUCAUUCAAUUUCUGAACCUCAUAUAUCUCAUCCACUUUCUUUAGUAAAUGUUUAUCUCGUGUCGUUAUGAUAAUUCUACUUCCUGGACCAAACCAAUCCUGAUUUCCAGCUAUUGCAUUGAGUUGGUCCCCUUUAUCUACGUUGUCCAUGAUGAGAAGUACCCUUCUAUGUUGAAAUUCUUGUUUUAUCAGUUCAAUACCUUCACCAACACUUCUUAUUUGACGCUUACUUUUCAAGAUGGCAGAAACAAGUUUUUUUUGCAAAUAAACUAGACCAUGUUUACUUGUAGCGUCUCUAAUGUCAUCAAGGAAAAUUUUGGAUUGGAACUCACCAUGAAUUUGGUUAUAAAUGGCUUUGGCGGCUGUUGUUUUACCCCAUCCACCCAUCCCCCAAAUUCCAACCAUGACAACUUUAUUUGAUCCACCACCUGAAAGAUGAUUGAUAAUACGUAGAAUGCGAGAUUUGAUUUCAAUUGGGUGCUCGGCCACAUUUAGUUCAUUUGUUCUCGGAAGCCAUUUCAUAAUAAUCUCCUCAAUAAUUUUUCUAAUAACCUCUGCUUCCCGCCUGAAAAUUAAAUUCUUAAGCAUUAGUGGGACUCCAUGAAAGCUCAGUAGGAGCUAUCAGUACAUAAACAAUUUCCUUUCCUGUAUAUAUAUAAUAACUAGCCACUACCUACCACCUAGUAUAUGUGAUUUUGUGACCAACUUGAAUAAAAGAAAGAAAGUCAUUCGUUGAUAUAUAAAAGUUAGGUGUAUUAGUUAAAACUCCAAUUACGGUUUAGGUUUUGUAUGAGAGAUUAAGGUUUAUUAAUUAAGCAUGUUAAUUAAUGUUUAGCUUCUGUAAAAAUGUUAAUAAAUAAAGCAUUAAGUCAUUCACUAAAAUGUUCCAAAUCUUGAAAAGCAGGUGAAUGAUUACCUAUUGUCAGUAAUUCGAAGAUGGUGGCCGGACAAAUUUCCAGCUCUUGUAAGAGCCUCUCUCCACUGAUUUGCUUGUUUUUGUUUAGCUUCACGUUUCUUGUCAUCUUGUUCUUCACAGAUGUCUUUUUCGUGUUUCUGAAAUGCUUCGGCUAAAUCUCCGUCCUGCUUCCUGACAUGCGAAGGAUCAACGUGAUAGAAUAUUGGCAAAACAUGUCGACCCAGUUUGGAUUUGCACUCCAUAAUCUUCACCAGCUCGUUAAGACACCAACUCGAAUCCGCAUACAUCUUUGAGAAGACAAUGAUAGAGAUCCUCGACUCUUCGAUUGCCCGGAACAGUUGCUCUUUUAUAUCUUCCCCUCUUUCUAGAUCGUCUUCAUCCAUAUAAGCCUGGAAUCCCCGGUCUUUUAAAGUCGCGUGGAGGUUGCCCGUGAAGCCAUGGCGCGUGUCUUCGCCACUGAAGCUCAAGAACACGUCGUAAUUCCAAAGUUUUGACUCGGAGGAGGAUGAAGAGGAGGCUUCAUGGGCCGUCAUGACGGUAUCCACCGUAAUGGCGUUGCAGUGGUUAAGAUCACGACGGAAAAAAUGGCAGUGGCUGUGUUUGUGUUGCCGAACCGAUGAUACUGAAAUACCAAAAGCCAAGACAACCUUUCUUCAGUCCGCACAGUCAUCCAUAAUAAUUAAUAGGGGUUAGUGGAGUUUAAUCCUUCGUUGAGAUCAACUUUUCAAAAAAACCUGGUGUGAGAUAAAAAAUUUAAAUUAGUCCCUUGACUGGAUGUCCACCUCAUGAUUAACGUUAAAACUCAUAUUUCAUUGGAUUUAAUGUCUUUAUGUGUAUUUAAGUUCCUAAAAUAACCCCGCAAUUAAUAUUUGAUUUGAGUGCCUCAUUUCCUCCUAUAAAAGAUAACUACAUCUAAAAUAAUUGAGAUACCAAUUAACAAAUUCAGGUACAUAUCAAAUAAGAAAACGAAAUUAUUGAUUAAAAUUCAAAAAGUUUCAUAUCACAAUGAAACAAAACUCUAGAAAUCAAAAUUUAAUGAAUACAUCAAACCAAAUAAGUAAACAAUGUACCUAAACCAUGGUACCUAUACCAUAGUAUCUAUAGCAUGGUACCUAUAUCAUAGUACCUAAUACAUAGUACCUGCAAAUUAAAAAGACAUUAUUAGAAUUUUAAUGUAGAAAAAAAAAACCCACACGAUUUUAGUGAAAAUGCUAAACUUCCUAGACAAAUAAACGAAUCUGCACAACACCAUAGAAGAGGACGAUGGAAGAUUCAUACAAUUGAACUUUUGUGUUUAAAAUGAAAAACAGUUGAAAAUAUAUUAAGUAAUAAUUGCACACCCAUAACUCAACAUUUAAAAUUUGUUAUUGUCCAUCAUUACAUAAGGGCAAUGUUGGAAAAAUAGAAUCAAUAAAACCACCCAAAAAAAUAAACACUGACGUGGAUAAUAUAUAUUGACAUGGAUGUAUAGUCAAAUGACUAUAAUCAAUAUUUAAUCUUGCAUAAGACAUUUCUCUAACUAUAAUCUUAACCAAGGAUUAAAAUCACAUUUUCUACAUAUCAACAUAAUUAAAUUUUAUUUCUAAAGUAUAUUCAUUUAGUGUUAGAAACAUUACAUUUGGUAUAUUUAUAUUUAUGGUUAAACUUUGUAUCAUAUACUUCUAUUUUUAGUUUGUACCAUUUUUAAUUGGCAACCCUUUUUUAAUUUGUACCAAUUUUCUUUUUAGUUUUAAUUUGUACCCAUAUAUUAAUUUCAUUUGUACCCAUAUUUUUUUUAUUUUUAUUUAUACUCAUAAUUUAUUUAUAAUGUACCCAUUUUCUUUAUAAAUGUACCACUUUAUUAUAUGUAAAAUGUACUCUUUUUUUUUUUGUAAAUAUACCUUUUUUUUUAUGUAAAAUGUACCCAUUUUUUAAUGUGAAAUCUAUUUAUUUUUUAUUUAUAAUGUAUACAUAUUUAUUAUAAAAGUACCCUUUUUCAAUUUUUUGAACACUAUGAGUACAUUUGUUUGAUAAUUAUUAUUUCAAAGUUACAUUGUUACCUAUUUUUAUAUAUUUAUGCAAUCAAAAUUUUUGAGUAUUUUCUUUUUUAUUGUAAUCGUUUUUAAUUUAUAUGCCAUAUAAUAUGGGAUAUAUUAAUAGCAAUAAUGAGAUGUACAAAGUCAAGGGACUUUGACCAAAAAUUGAAUACCAUUAAGGUUUUAAUCAAAUAAUGUUAGUGGCUAGGGACCGGAUCUAAAGUCUCCUAAUAAUUUAUAACUGAAAUAAUGACGUUCAUUAAAAGCUAGGGACCUUGAUCAAAAAUUAAAAAGAAAUAAGGUUUUAAUCAAUUCAAUAGAAGAAAGAGGGAUGUGAACCUAAUUUCUCUUAAAAAGAAUUAUUCAAUAUGGACGGUAAAUGAUUCAGCCAUUUACAAGUUCUAAUUUAGGAUCACAAUUUACUGAAUCGUUGUAUUAACUAUUAAGUGGUGCUCUAAUGUAAUUUUUAGGAAUUUCUGAGGAGGCAUAUGUUAACACACACCCAAAUGAACCCAAUUUAGGCUCCACUGCUAAAAACUAUUGCAAAAUGCGCAGUAGGAUUGAACUGCUAAAGCCUAUUGCGAAAUGAACCACACAGUAAACCAUCCAAAUGGAUGCCAUAUAUGCAUAUACAAACAGUGUUUUGAAAGGACAAGGGAGCUAACAGUGUCUUUUUAUAUGACUCGAAGUUCUGGCUGCAAAUUGCAUGCAAUCAUUUUCUUGGCGGUGAUUAGCUUGUACAGCUAUUUAACUCUCAGUAACUCUCUCCAAAUGGUAAAGGCCAAGAGAGUGAGGUGUCCGGCUCGAUGUGGACUGAGCAAUUAGAUGAAUGAUCAGUAGACAAAGAAAUUGUUGGAUGCCACAAUCUCCAUAAGAGUGUUGGAACUCUUUGUCAGUUUAAAAAUAUUUGUGGAGGCCUUGAGUAGGCAUUAGGCUCUUUUAAAUGAGUUAAAUGUUAGUGUCAGGCGUGCUACCGUUGGCUCAGAUCAAAAUAAAGAUUGUAAUAUGGUACUGUUAGAUUGUAAACUUACGCCACAACUAAGCCGAGCUUCUUAACCAAAGCAUUGUGCCAUAGAAGGGUUAAAUCUGUGUUCAAUUCUUUUCUGUGCCUUGUUGUUAAGGACUUUAUAUGUACGUUUUUUGUUAUACCAAGUGAUACCCACAAACUGAUGAAAUAUUGGUAAUGGUUGCACUGCAGCAAGUCAAACUCCUUUGCUCAACAAAAACAAAAGUUUAUAAUAUAAUAAUGUUAGCAUAUGAACUUGAGAAACAACGGCCGAGAAGGUGCAGUGAAAGUGAAAGAAAGAGGAAAAGAAGAAGGAAAUGAAACAAAAGACUAUCCAACAGAUUUUAAGAAUGACUUCUUGGCAAUGAUUACAGCUAUUCACAUAUUCAACUAUGAAAAUGUAUAAAAUAUGAUAUGAUUAUAUAUGCAAGUAACGUUUGACCAAAAAAACAAAAAAAAAAAAAAAAAAAAAUAUAUAUAUAUAUAUAUAUAUAUAUAUAUAUAUGCAAGUAACGACCCCAAAUCUUAUUGGAGCUAAUUAACUAAUGUAAUAAAAUAGCUAGUCUUAUUAGACAUUUGGAUUCCUUAGCAAGUGGAACUUUUUUUUUAGUUUAGAAGUCAUGUAGUAAUUAAAUAGUUGUGAUUAAUAUCUUAAGAUUUUUUUUUUCAUCAAUGGUAAUCUAUACAAUUGUAACAGUCAUUAUUUGUUAAUAAUUUGUGCUUUGGCAAGUUUGCUGCAGGAUGGAUUGAGGGGAGAGGCUUCUUUCGGAUAGUUUGUAUGAAAUAUUAGAGAGAGAUAUAAUUGUUUUGUAUAAAAUAAUUAAAAAAAUUGAAAUUGACACGUGGACUUUUUAGUCACAAUUAAGUUAUUAACUAGAAGGACAAGGAUUGUCUGCCCUCUUUGUUCACGUGCCCUCUCAUGCCCUUCUGUUUGUGUAGUCAUGGUUAAGCCACGUUAACAUUUUAUAUUACUAUUUAUUUUUAUCUUAUUAUCUCUAUGACGUGGCUUAACCGUGACCACACAAAACAGAAAGGCACGGGAACAAGGAGGGCAGACAAUCUUUGUCCUAACUAGAAUGACCCUAUUAAUUUGGCAAGACCCACAUCCGUUCUAUGCAGUUCAACCACCACUAAUGGAGUAUUAAGUUUAAUUUAAUGCCACUUAAUUGUGGGGGAAGGGGUCGGGAGGAGACCGAUGUUUUUACACUUGGAUUUAUUCAUUGAUUAUUUCUAGUGGUGCAUGUAUAGUUGUAGAUGGGGCAAGUGUAAGGUUGCAGAAUAAAACUUGAAUCAUUUGAAUGGAGGGAAAAACAAAUUUCUGCUAAAAUUUGUCCAUAUCAACGAUCACACAAGAAACAUAUUUAGUUAGCUUACUAGAAAGUGAUGUCCGUGCAUUGUUGUAGGAUUAGAAAUUGUGUGAAUAAUUAUAUUUGAAAGAUUAUCAAUGUCAAAUUUAGUGUAAUCAGCAGAUCUCUAACUUUCCAAUAGUAUAUAAAUUUGAACUAAUAAAAUGUAUCUCUAAGUUUCUAGAAGUGUUCAAAUUGAAACUAAUAGUUUGUUUUAUUUUUUGUUUUGUAUACUGGUACUUUAAAAACCAUAAGUAACGGAUCUUUCUUCUCUAUAUUGAUAAUUUAAGAUUCGCUAUUAAAAAACGAAUUCAUAAGUUAGGUUUCAAAGUGUACUAUAACAUUGAUUAAUCUAAACACUACCUCAGCAAACCAAACAAUUUUAUUUCCUCCAUAAAUGUCCUUGUUUAAUUACUUUACAAAGUUAAUUUGUUUCAAAAGAUUGAAAGCAAGUGGUUUUCAACUUUGAAAUCCCACAGCAUGAAUAGAUAAAGGAAUAGUUUCUCCAUUAUAUUCAACACCACUAUAAACCACACCAUGACAUCCUCUUGCUGGGAACAAAAAGAAAUUUAUAUAAACAAUCAGAAACAAUAGAAUUGUUAAUGUAAAAUUGCAUGAUAUAAUGGUUAAAAACUAUGUAAACCAUCUAGACAUCAAGAAAUAAAAAGUAUAUGAAAACUGAGGACUUAUUUGAGUUGAGAGUUCACAUAAUGCUUUUAAGAGUGGUUGAGUUUUGUUGGAUUGAGAUAUCUCCUUUCUGCACAAAGGAGUUUCAGAUGCAUGUUAAGAUUAUUAGCCUAACUUUGAUUUACAAUUAUUUGAGAAUUGUGAUUUAUACAUAAAUAAAUACACACACACACACACAAAGAAUAAGAGAAGACAGAAAAUGGGGAAACUGUGUGUACACUAAGAUGCAUGUCAAAUAUGAUUGACAAAGAAGAUGCUCUUUUAUUUUUCAGGAAUUUCAAGGAGGCAAAUAUAUGGGGGUGGACCAUAUAAUACACCCAAAUGGAUCAAUUUUUAGGCUCCACUGCUAAAAACUCUUGCAAAAUGCGCAUAAGGAUUAAACUGCUAAACACCAUUGCGAAAUGAACCAUAUAUACAUAUAUAAACAAUGUUUUGAAAGGACAAGGGAGCUAACGCUUUUUAUAUGACCUGGACUUGGAGUUCUGGCCGCAAAUUGCAUACGAUGACUUUCUUGGCGGUGAUUAGCUAGUACAGCUAUUAAACUCUAACAGUCUCCUGUCUUCAAAUGGUAAAGACCAAGAGAGUCAGGUGUUCCAGCUGAAAGUGGCCUGAGGUAGUAGAUGAAUGAUCAGGUGACAAAGAAAUUGUUGGAUGCAACAAUUCUCUAUGAGAGUAUUGGAGUUCUUUGUCAGUUUAAAAAGGGAAAGAAAGGAAAAGAGGAAGGAAAUGAACAUGAAAAGACAAAGACUAUGCAACAGAUUAUAACAAUGACUUAUUAGCAGUGAUUACAGCUAUUCACCUAUUCAUGGUAUCAAUCCGUAUAAACUAUGAUAUGAUUAUAUAUGCAAGUAACGACCCCAAAUCUAAUUGGAGCAAAUUAACUAAUGUAAUAAAAUAAUCUUAUUAGACAUUGGAUUCCUUAGCAAGUGGAACGUUUUUUUUAGUUGAGAAGUCAAGUAGUAAUUAACUAGUUGUGAUUAUAUCUUAAGAUUUUUUUUCCAUCAAUUGUAAUCUAUAUUCUUGUAACACUCAUCAAUCUGUCAUGGUGGUAUCUACCGUUAUGGUGCUGCAUUGGUUCAAAUAAAAAAUGACAGUUGUUCUGUUGCUGGACCGAUUAUACUGAAACACUGAAGCCAAUUCAACAUUUCCUCAGUCCUCAAAGUCGUCCAUAUAAUUAAUAUAAUAAUCUUUCUUCACUGCCGGGCGGGAAGGUGCGGGGAAAGAGAGGAAAAGAACAAAGAUAUGAACACGAAAGGAUAAAGACUAUCCAAAAUAUUAUUGGUAGUGAUUCUUAUCAAUAAUGCAUUAUUUUAUGUUGAAAUUCAGAAGCAUUUGAGAAGUAGAAUGCCAACAACCGCAUAAUAAACAAAAGGGAUUAGAGAACAGACCCAAAUAUGAAAGGAUAUAAAAAUAAUUAUUCAAGAUGUGCGGUGAUGAGUCGAUAUUAUUCUAUAUUUUUACCUAAUCUCAAUUAGUAUUAUUAGUUAUUUUGAGAGAAUUUUGAUACUUUGCUCUAUAUUUUAAUUGUAAGACAUGUGCAUCUACUUUGGGCGAAAAAAGAUGAAAUGAAGGAAUUUUGAAGUAAUUCCAAUUGGAGUGGAUUCGUAGGUCUUUAAAGAUGAUUGUGUCAAGUGGGGCGUUGGUUGAGUGUAAUAAAUUAAUUUUUCUAAAUUUUGUAAUAGAUUAAUUGAAGUACAUUCGUGAGUCUUUGCUCAGGCCAAGAGAGUCAGGUGUUCCGCUGAAUGUGGCUUGAGCAAAUAGAUCUUGAGUGUAAUAAAUUAAUUUUUCUAAAUUUUGUAAUAGAUUAAUUGAAGUACAUUCGUGAGUCUUUGCUCAGGCCAAGAGAGUCAGGUGUCCGGCUGAAUGUGGCUUGAGCAAUUAGAAGAAUGAUCAGUAGACAAAGAAAUUGUUGGAUGCCACAAUAUCCAUGAGAGUGUUGGAACUCUUUGUCAGUUUAAAAGUACUUUUGGAGGCCUUUUGUAGGCAUUAGGCUCUUUUAAAUGAGUUGGUUGUUAGUGUCAGGUGUGCCAUUGUUGGUUCAGAACAAAAGAAAGAUGGUAAGCUGUUAUUGUUAGAUUGUAAAUUUACCCCACAACUAAACUCAGCUUCUUAACCAAAGGACUGUGCCAAAGAAGGGUUAAAUCUAUGUUAAAUUCUUUUUUAUGCCUUCUUGUUAAGGAACUUUAUAUAUAAAUUUUUUGUUAUAUCAAGUGAUAACUACAAACCGAUUGAAUAUUGGUAAUGGUUGCACAACAGCGUGUCAAGCUCCAACAAAAACAAAAGUCUAUCUUCUACAUAUAAAGCCAAUAAUAAAGUGAAUACUGUUUUUUGGUGUCACAACCUACAACAAAAAUAAUUUAACAAAAAUGCCCCUCAAACAAAAAACUUCAAAAGCAACUCAAAAUAAUGCAUCAAAUGUGGUAGGGGUAUUUUCAUCAUUUUAAAAGUAUUUUUUUAAUAAUUAUUUUUUUGUACUGUUUUUUUUAAUUAGUACCUCACAAUAGGCUAGCAAUAAUGUGAUUCAAUCAACUGUUCAUUUAAUAUUAUUUUGGGAACUUUAACGAAAAGCUCCCGGUACUGUUUACUUUAACGAAAAAUCACAUUUUUACUCUAAAAAAUCAAUCAUGGUACUAUUCACUUACAACACUUUUUUUUCAUUUUCGUUAAAAAUCAAAGUUUUCAAGCCAUUUUCAUUAGUCUUUCUUAUUAUUUUCUUUAUUUUUAAACAUGUUCAAAACAUCUUAAGAAGCGUGUAAUGCCGGUUAUAAAAAAAGUUUUCCGCACGUGGAUAAUAAGUGAUUAAAUUAGUUGUCAAAUGAUUUUUUUUUUUUAAUAAACGAUAUUAUCUACACGAAUGGGGAGGAGGGUGGGCUUAGCCUCACAAUGGACUAGCAAUAAUGUGAUUCAAUAAGUUGUUUAUUAAAUAUUAUUUUCUUUAUUCUUAAUGUAAAUUUUAUAAAGACCGAUUUUAUUAUGUGGAUUCAGCUGCUUUAAUUGGUUUAUGAGGGAUUUCUUCUAGUAUGAUCUAAAAUUAUUCAUUUACUUAAAUAUUUGACUAUCAUUUUGUCAUAUAAAUAGGGACAAAACUUUGAGUCCACUAAACCAAGUCUUUAACCCACUUGGUUGUUGUCGUAUUAAAAUUAUAUGCACCUUAUGACAGAGAAAAUCUUCUCAUACCUAGAUAUUUUUAUUAGCCAAAUUAAAUUGGGCGAAAAGUCGGGCGUACUAGAACGCUUGAAUUAGUCCAUUUUGGUGGCAUGCGGAAUAUAAUCGCCCGAGUGGGCCAAGUUCUGGUUGGAGCUAAGAACGAAUAUCUACGUAAUUGAUUAGUAAUAAAAUAUGUGUAAUAAUUGCAAAACUUGCAUAAUUAAUUUAGGAGUUGGGACGUAUCCAUCAAGAAAUCAAUCGUACUUGAAAAUAUACAUAUAUGUAUGUAUAGUAGGGUUUGUGUGUCUCUUUUUUGACCAUGGCUUUUCUGGGAAGAACAAGAGUCUGGUAGCUCAGACCCAAAGCCAAAGCCAUGGGGAAGGACGGGAAAUGAAAGAAGAUAAAUUCUAAGGAUACUCUCUUAAUAGUGAGAUGCUUUAUAGACUUUCUGCCGCCUCGUGUUUUUUGCACAAUAUUUUAUAAUGUUGACACGAAAAUUGACGUUAAAUUAUAAAGUGACAGAGAGUUCAUAAAGAAUUAUUUUAAAAAAGUCUCCUUAACAUUUUUCACGAAAGAAAUAUGAUCUGAUGAAACCUUUUGGUUUUGCUUUUGUGGGAAAUAAAAGUCAAAGUUAUGAGAGCUUUGAUAUUAUAUGUUUUUCAAAUUUCUAGAAAUAAGGAUGAACCCUAGAGGAGAGGAGAGGGUUCAAGUAAUCAUAUAUACCUUUUGUCACAUUUCUUUGAUCAAAUCAAAAUUUUAAAGUGUAUGUAAUAAUGUUUGCAACAUUUUAUAUAUACAACAAUGUUAAGAUUAUUUGAUGCAUUAUUUUGGAAUGAACAUUGUUAAAACUAAAAUACCCCUACAUUAUUUGAUGCAUGAUUUUGGUCACAAGCUUCAACAAACAAAUUUGGACCAAAAUGCCCCUCAAACAAAAAACUUCAAAGACAACCCAAAAUAAUGCAUCAAACGUGGCAUGGAUAUUUUCGUUAUUUUAACAGUGUUUUUUUAAUAAUUAAUUUUUUUUGUACUAUUUUUUUUUAAUUAGUACCUCACAAUAGGUUCGCAAUAAUAUGAUUCAAUCAGUUGUUCAUUAAAUAUUAUUUUCUCUAUUUUUCAACACGUUCAAAACAUAUUAAGAGGCGUGUAAUGCUGGUUAUAAAAAAGGUAUCUCUGUCACAUCUCAGUCUCGGCUUCGUUGUAGCACGAUAUUGUCCGCUUUGAGCCACGCCCUCACGGUUUUGUUUCUAGGAACUCACGAGAGAACUUCCCAGUGGGUCACCCAUCCUAGGACUGCUCUCGCCCGAACUUGCUUAACUUCGGAGUUCCGAUGGAACUCGAAGCUAGUGAGUUCCCAAAAGGCCUCGUGCUAUAGGGAGGGGAGUAUGUACAUAUAAGGCACAUCACCCCCUCUCCGUUGGUAGAUGUGGGAUCUCACAAUCCACCCUACUUAAGGGGAACCCGGCGUCCUCGCCGGCACAUCCACACCGAACGGCAGAGUGGCUCUGAUAAUUUCGCACGUGGAUAAUAAUGUGAUUAAAUUAGUUAUCAAAUGAUUUUUUUUUAACAAACGAUAUUAUCUACACUAACGGGGAGGGGGUGGGCUUAGCCUCACAAUAAGCUAGCAAUAAUGUGAUUCAAUCAAUUGUUUAUUAAAUAUUAUUUUCUCUAUUCUUAAUGUAAAUUCUAUAGAGACCGAUUUUAUUAUGUGAAUUCAGCUGCUUCAUUUGGUUUAUAAUGAGUUUCUUCUAGCAUGAUCUAAGAUUAUUCAUUUAAUUAAAUGUUUGACUUUCCUUUUGUCAAUUUACGCAUAUAAAUACAUUUAAAACGUGUAAGUUGCGCGUAGCACGCCAAUGAUUCAAAAAAAUAUUCAAACAAAGAGGUGAAUAGUGCUUUUGGUGUCACCACGCUUCAACAAAAUAUUCAAACAAAAUUGCCCCUCAAACAAAAAACUUCAAAGGCAUCUCAAAAUAAUGCAGGAGCAUUUUCAUCAUUUUAACAUUAAUUUUUUUGUGGUUUUUUUUAAAUUAGUGCCUCAUAAUAGGCUAGCAAUAAUGUGAUUCAACCAGUUCUUUAUUUAAAAAACACGUUCAGAACAUCUUAAGAGGCGUGUAAUGCCGAAUAUAAAAAAAGUCUUUCGCACGCUGAUAGGAGCAUAUUUAUGCGACUUAGUUAACUUGUUUCUUGGCAUUUAUGUUGUUAGUUCGUAGUUAUUUUAGUAUUUUAAGCUAUUUUCGUGUGUUUGUAGGUCCAAAGGGUUAAUGUGGCAAAGAAGUGCAUUUUGGAGCAUUUUGGAGCAUUUUUGGACAUGGAAUGGAUGGCAUAUGCUUGGAGCAAAAGGAAUGGACGAAAUUUGAAGUUUGUGCAUCAUCAUCUCCCUAUAAAUAACCAUUUUAGCACACUCAUUUCACCCAACACAUCCAUUCACCUACCAUUACAUCCACUCAUUUCACCCAACACAUCCAUUCACCUACCACUACAUCCACUCAUUUCACCCACCACAUCCACUCAUUUCAACCACCCAACACAUUCACCUACCACUACAUCCACUCAUUUCAUUUCAACCAACACAUCCAUUCACCUACCACUACAUCCACUCAUUUCAACCAUCCAACACAUUCACCUACCACUACAUCCACUCAUUACCACCACCCAUUACAUCAUCUCUCUAGCCUAUAAAUACAUUCAUCCACCCUUCACCAUGGGAGAUGGAUCUAUCCAAAAUCACACACACACAUCAUCUACACAACUCUCCACUCUUUGCCGCAUUCUCCAUCCAAUCUAAACCUAUCCAUGAUCCUUCCAUUCAUCCAUCAACAUCCAUAGACACUUGUGCCGCAACAAGGUGGGGAAAAAGAAGAUGGUCCUUUGGCGUUUCAAGCUUGAAGAUUGGAGCGUUUUAGGUGUACUUCGUUCUUAUUUUCAAUGUCUAUUUUGUUAUUUUCUAAUUUUGUUGCAAUUAUGAGUGGCUAAACCCCUAUUUAGUUAGGGGGAAGUUUGAAACCAUGAACAUGCUUGAGAUAUGAAUUGAUUUCUUCCAAUUGUGAUUUGAUAAGUUGUGAUUGCAAUUCAAUUAUC